Molecule: ribosomal RNA, 465 nt
Filed under: uncultured bacterium
Lineage: Bacteria
Description: partial 16S ribosomal RNA
Rfam family: Bacterial small subunit ribosomal RNA
Source: RNAcentral
GACGAACGCUGGCGGCGUGCUUAACACAUGCAAGUCGAACGGAAAGGCCCCUUUGGGGGUACUCGAGUGGCGAACGGGUGCGUAACACGUGAGUAACCUGCCCUUGACUUCGGGAUAACUUCAGGAAACUGGGGCUAAUACCGGAUAGGAAUCCUUGCUGCAUGGUGGGGGUUGGAAAGCUUCGGCGGUUUUGGAUGGACUCGCGGCUUAUCAGCUUGUUGGUGGGGUAGUGGCUUACCAAGGCUUUGACGGGUAGCCGGCCUGAGAGGGCGACCGGCCACAUUGGGACUGAGAUACGGCCCAGACUCCUACGGGAGGCAGCAGUGGGGAAUAUUGCACAAUGGGCGGAAGCCUGAUGCAGCAACGCCGCGUGCGGGAUGACGGCCUUCGGGCUGUAAACCGCUUUCAGCAGGGGCGAAGCUUGUGGUGACGGUACCUGCAGAAGAAGCACCGGCUAACUACGUG